CAGGCAAUCCGCUCAUCUUGGCCUCCCAAAGUGCUAGGAUUACAGGAGUUAGCCACUGCUCCCGGCCAGCUGUAAGGUCUUGAGAAGACUGCUGGUGAAGGCUGGGAGGACUGAAAAUUGUCACUGGAGCCUGGAGAAAAGGUAACUCUAUUAAUGUAGUGGCAGAGAAUUUGCUAACAUUAUCACUUGUAGUAAUGUGGAAAAUAGAAAAUAUACCCAAGGAACCCACGGAUUUUAGUAAGAAAACUUCUAGGCAGAAUGCUUAAAGUGCCAUUUAAAAAUUUAAAAAAAAAAUUUUUUUUAAAGCUACACACAGUAAAAGGUGCAGGUAGAGAAAGAUGAGUCAAAAAAGAACUGUUCAGUUUUCAAACAAAAUUUGGAGACAAUAAAGAGCUAGAAUGUGUUGAGUAAAAACAAAACAAAACAAAACAAAAAUUGUUUUAACACUCCUAGGGGGUGGCUGUAAAAUACCUUUUAAUGACUGUAGAAAUAUUUAAGGAUGUACCUCAUAGAGUUUCCAAAAUAGACAAAAAGGCUUUUAAGAAUCCUAAGGGUAUUGUCCCACAGCACCCAACUCUGAGCCCAGACCAAAAAAGGGACUAUCUUGAAGAGAAUUGUAGGUAUGUGUUUCAUUUAACAGAAAGAAACCCAGUAAGAUUCAAAGGAUGCCCACAAAGAUUAUGAGAGAAGUGUAUUAGUGGACACAUAAUCAGCUUGGACAAAGCAGGCAGAGGUAAAGUGCAAAGAGUCCUUAGAGCCCCCAGACUUUUAUGGGUGAGACAUAAGCUGAGAAGAUUAUUCAGCUGAAAGUGCUAUUUCUUAUGGAAAGGGGACAACUCAGAAGGUGCAACAAGAGUCUGGAGGGUGGAUCCAAGAGCCGCAGAGAAUCAUUCCAGAGAGCAGGACUCGGCCCUCCAGCCAAGGAACUGGCAGCAUGUGGAUUUCAGACUUGCUAUGGUCUUUGGACCCAGAUUGGAACUAUACCAUUGGCUCUCCUGGGUUUCAAGCUUGCUUGCUGACUGCAGAUCUUGGGACUUCUCAGCCUCCAUAAUUAUGGAAUGAAGAAGCCUGAAUCUAUGCUGCAAACUCUGGUUUCCACAAGCCUCGUGAAAGAUGAAGAAAGAAGGCUAAGAAGGCUUCCUCCCAAUGGGAUGAUGGUAAGUCUGAAAUCCCAGUUGAUCUGGUGAGAUAUGAAAAAGGGUGAGAUAAUUGUGCUGAGAAAUCAUCUCAGUUUACAGGCACGCACAUCUUCAACACAAAAUGGAGGCUGAUGAGAGUUCAGUUCAAUGACUGUUUCCAACACUAGAGUGGGGCUAUGAAUUGGCAUCAUCCUAGAGAAAUUUCAAGUGGCUUAAGUGGACUUGAAAACAGUACUGUCCUCUCACUUUUUGUCAUUUAGUUUCUUAGAGUCAGAGAUAAUGUCUAAAAAAGGGCAUUUCUCAUAAUAAUUUGUGACCAGGAGAAUCAAUAAAAAAGGAUUUCCCUUGCCAGGAUUUUCAGAGAGAAAACUAUGCUUACAGUCCACAGAAUGACAAAUAUUCAUUGUGUGAUGCUAAUAAAAGUGUAAGGCAUUUUAAAAUUCAAGGGUAUUUUCUUAUAACCAUCUUCUUCAAAGAACUUUGAUCUCUAGUUACCUUAUAUGAUUGAAAACAAUGACUAAAUGAAAUGCUUGUCUCCUCCAAGAAUGGAAUAUAAAGUAUUUACAUAAAUCGAUAUUGCUGGAAAAAAAUCUGCAGAUUCCUUAUGCUUGGGUUCACAUGAAAUAAGUAACUUUCUUCCCCAAAAAGCCAGCUGUGUGAUUACUAAGAGACCAAGUCACAUGGUUUGGAUCUGUGUCCCCCUCCAAAUCUCAUGCUUAGUUGUAAUCCCCAAUGUUGAAGGUGGGGCCUUGUGGGGAGUGAUUUGGUCAUGGGGAUGGUUUCUCGUGAAUAGCUUAGCACUAUCCCUUCUUGAUAUUGUCCUCAUGAUAGUGAGUGAAUUCGUGUGAGAUCUGGUCAUUUAAAAGUGUGUGGUGGCUGGGCGCCGUGGC
This 2029-nucleotide long non-coding RNA is filed under the name Homo sapiens (human). RNAcentral describes it as "HSALNT0392584". Lineage: Eukaryota; Metazoa; Chordata; Mammalia; Primates; Hominidae. The record is from RNAcentral.